GGCAAUGCUGACUGACUUGUGACUGUCUGCAAUACUGUGUUGGAAAGGAUUCUGAGGGACACUCUAUCUUCUAGAGCAAGAGGACUGGAAUAGGUGUCAAGGCAAACUUCCACAUGCAGCGCCUCAUUUGGAUGUGUCUGGAGUCUUGGAAGCUUGACUUCCCUACGUUCUCCUACACAUGGACCUGGAGAGCUUGUUUGGAGGUUCUAGCAGGGGAGCGCAGCUACUUGUAUACCCUCAACCGAAGACUGGUCCGUCUCUGUUGGGAAAAGCCGUCCUCUUUGACUGAGUCUAUCCUCUACCAGCCUGGAACCUUGAACUCCCAGCCAUGGCCCAAUCUAACUGCUCUUCAGCCAGAAGAAUAUUUGGCAGUGACACCUUUGCCUUUGGAGUCAAGAAACAUACCCUGAAAGCCCCAGCUCUGUCUUUGAGCAACACCUUUGC
This is a long non-coding RNA of Erinaceus europaeus (western European hedgehog), 444 nucleotides long. RefSeq lists it as uncharacterized. The transcript is spliced from 3 exons. The record is from RefSeq and is a predicted model, not a curated record. Lineage: Eukaryota; Metazoa; Chordata; Mammalia; Eulipotyphla; Erinaceidae.